This is a long non-coding RNA of Solanum pennellii, 1022 nucleotides long. RefSeq lists it as uncharacterized. Lineage: Eukaryota; Viridiplantae; Streptophyta; Magnoliopsida; Solanales; Solanaceae. The transcript has 4 exons. The record is from RefSeq and is a predicted model, not a curated record.
AGUAGCAUUGUCGACAUGACUCCCAAAGUUUUCAGUGUGAGUUGGUGGGAUUAGGCGUUUUAACUUUAAGUUUAAAGGCUAAGUUUGACUUUAGUCAACAUUCUGAGUAAACGCGCUCGGAUGAGAAUUCCGUCAGCGCGGUUAGCUCCGGAAUGUCGAGUUUGGUCUAGUUUGACCCUUCUUUCGGGUUUUGAGGUUUUUGAUAUUUUUCCGAGCCCUUUUGUGGUUUUUGACUUAAAAUGGCCAAUGGAAGUGGGACCCACAUUUUAUCGAGAUGACCUCUGAUGAAAAUUUCGACUGCGCCUUUGAGUCCGGAAUGUCGACUUUGGUAGGGUAGCAUAUCUAUUUUAUUUUUAUCAGGUUCCGAACGGAUUCCGAGCACCCGUCGGAGACUUUAAAGAAAGUAGGCAAAGCUGAAUCUGGUGCAGCCCCUAUAAAAACCCCAACUUUCAGCUUUAUGUUUUACUUUGGAACUUGAUAUCUUGAGCGAUACAACUCCGAAUUGGGCGAUUCAAAAGGCUAAGUUGUGAGAUUUUUCGAGGGCAACACAUUGGUGAGCUUGGAAUCUGAUUUGGGGACACGAUUUGAGGUCCGAAUCAAGUGAUUCAAGAGCCUAUAUUGUGGGGUUUUUCGUGAGGAUCGUCGUGGUGUGAUUGGUUUUGGCUGUUGGAGCUUCAUUUUUGGUAAAAUCUGUGUAUCAACGUUUCGAGGCCUUUUAGAAAGUAAAAGAUCCGGGGAGUGAAUUUUGGAGCGCGCGUGAUCUGCGUUCAGGUCCGAGCACCAGUAGUCAGCGUUGAUCGAGUUUGGAGCAUUUCUAGUCUGGAGACAGGGGUGAGCACACAGCGUUUUGUACUAUUUCAGUCUCCAUCUGUUUAUAUAAAGACUUGUCUUUUACUUUUCGAGACAGUCUAGUUUCACUGGUCCACUGUUGGGACUUGUACUCGUUUUGUUGGUAGCUUUGUAUUAGUGACUUCCAGGCUCUGGGAGGGAUCCUUAAUUGUAUUUAUGUUUUGGUUUGCUUA